RNAcentral lists this ribosomal RNA (253 nucleotides) under uncultured bacterium. RNAcentral describes it as "partial 16S ribosomal RNA". It matches the Rfam family "Bacterial small subunit ribosomal RNA", at positions 524 to 776 of the family's 1533-position model. The record is from RNAcentral.
UACGAGCCACCCGAACGUUAUUCGGAAUUACUGGGCUUAAAGGGUGCGUAGGCGGUGUAGCAAGUCGGGAGUGAAAUACCCCAGCUUAACUGAGGAAUUGCUUUCGAUACUGCUGCGCUUGAGUGAGACAGAGGUAAGCGGAACUUAGGGUGGAGCGGUGAAAUGCGUUGAUAUCCUAAGGAACACCGGUGGCGAAGGCGGCUUACUGGGUCUCAACUGACGCUGAGGCACGAAAGCUAGGGUAGCAAACAGG